GUCAGAAUGCCUCCAUCUGCGUCUCCCAGAAGAAAGGUCCCGGGAGCAACCUCUGCUAUCUGCUAUCCUAGGAACUCAGGAGCCAUUCGGGGUGUGGUGCAUGUGCCCUGUGGGAAAAGUACAUGAGGAGCCAAGUGGAGAAGAGGCUUGAAGGACUGCAACCAGACCAGGGAGGGAGCCAAGACUCAGAUGGUAUAAACCGAAACUGGGGGAGGCCAGCCUGUCAGAUGCACCCGAGGAUCCCUGCCUUCUGGGGAGCGCGGUGACACCAAGCUGCGAUGCGUGGUGGGAAGAGGGCAGGUACACAAAAGACAGGAAGCCAAAUGUGCGGGCCUUGAAGGGUGCUGCUCAGAGCACAAGGCCCCACCGUUCACCAGAUGUGUGUCCACUUCACUUCUCUCCACCGCUGUUUACUCAGCUGUAAAAUGGAAAUGAUGAUAA
Molecule: long non-coding RNA, 441 nt
Organism: Equus quagga
Lineage: Eukaryota; Metazoa; Chordata; Mammalia; Perissodactyla; Equidae
Exons: 3
Source: RefSeq, a predicted model, not a curated record